UUUGUAAGACAAAAUCGUAACGCCAAGAGGGCCAGCGCAGACAAUACCUCACAAGGGUGUGAACAUGGUGAUAAGAUUGAUCUGAGAUGUCGAUGAGUGGAUGUCCAGGUCUCAGAGCCAUGCGAGUUCAGAGCUUAAGUCUUGAUCCGUGACAAGUGGUAUCAGAGCUAGCUCUAAAUCGUUCAAUCCACGCCAAGUGUAGAGGACAUAAUAAGGUGUUAAGCAAUCAGAUGGGGGAGAAUGUCAUAGGCUUGUGACAAGUAGUAUCAAAGCCAGCCCUAAAUCGUUCAAUCCAGCCAAGCAUCGAGGGAGGUAAGCAGGGUGGCCAACCUCUGUGAUGAGGGCAUCACGAGGUUAGGUGAGAGAGUAUCAUGAACUUAAGAAAGAGUCCUGAAUCCCACAUCGAACAUAAUAAAAGGGUCACCGGGGUAUAAAAGGGUUCACACCACCUCAACUUUGUGAGGCACUUUUUGUAGGAUAAAACCGUGAGGCCAGGGGGGCCAGAGCGGACAAUAUCUCACAAGGGUAUGAACCAUGGCAGGAAGGCUAAUUGGGAUGUCGAAUGAGUGUAUGCUUUGGUCCCAGAGCCAUGCAGGUUCAGAGCUUAAGUCUCGACCCGUGCUGAUGAUGCGCUCCUAGACUUGAUUACCCGGGUCGUUCCACCAGCGCUGUUACUUUGAAAAAAUUAGAGUGCUCAAAGCAGGGCUACACUUGUAUACCUUAGCAUGGGAUAACAUCAUAGGAUUUUGGUCCUAUUGUGUUGGCCUCCAGGAUCAAAGUAAUGAUUAAUAGGGACAAUCAGAGGCAUUCUUAUUUCAUAGUUAGAGGUGAAAUUUUUGGAUUUAUGAAAGACGAAUAACUACAAAAGCAUUUGCCAAGGAUGUUUUCAUUAAUCAAUAAAAGUUAGGGGCUCGAAGAUGAUCAGAUACCAUCCUAGUCUCAACCAUAAAUGAUGCCGACUAGGGAUCGACGGAUGUUACUUUUAGGACUCCGCCAGCACCUUAUGAGAAAUCAAAGUCUUUAGGUUUUGGGGGGAGUAUGGUCGUAAGGUUGAAACUUAAAGAAAUUGAAGGAAGGGCACCACCAAGAGUGGAGCUUGCGGCUUAAUUUGACUCAACAUGGGGAAACUUACUAGGUCCAGACAUAGUAAGGAUUGACAGACUAAAAGCUUUUUUUGAUUCUAUGGUGGGCGUGCAAGGUCGUUCUUAGUUGGUGGAAUGAUUUGUCUAGUAAAUUUCAUUAACGAACAAGACUUUAGCCUACUAACUAGCUAUGCGGAGGUUAUCCCUUAUGGCUAGCUUCUUAGAGGGACUAUGGCCACUUAGGCCAAUGAAGUUUGAGGCAAUAACAAGUCUGUGAUGCCUUUAGAUGUUCUGGGUCACACGAACGCUACAUUGAUGCAUUCAAUGAGACAAGCCCAAGUAAUCUUCGAAAUUUCAUCGUGAUAGGGAUAGAUCAUUGCAAUUGUUGGUCUUCAAUGAGAAAUUCCUAGUAAAUGCGAGUCAUCAGCUCACGUUGACUACGUCCCUACCCUUUGUACACACCGCUCGUCGGCUCCUACCGAUUGAAUGGUCUGGUGAAGUGUUUGGAUCGUGGUGACAUGGAUGGUUUGUCACCCAUGACGUCACGAGAAGUCCACUGAACCUUAUCAAUUAGAGGAAGGAAAAGUCGUAACAAGGUUUUCAUAGGUGAACCUAUGGAAA
This 1703-nucleotide ribosomal RNA is filed under the name Durio zibethinus. RNAcentral's name for it is "SSU rRNA". The stretch from base 519 to 1703 matches the Rfam family "Eukaryotic small subunit ribosomal RNA". Lineage: Eukaryota; Viridiplantae; Streptophyta; Magnoliopsida; Malvales; Malvaceae. The record is from RNAcentral.